CGAUAAAUCCAUUACGAAAUAUAGACAAAUCCAAUGAAUAUCAAAAGCUGUUAUACCUAGGAAAACAUAUAUAAAAUUCUAAUACAUUUCAUCAUUCUGAAGUUAGUACACAUGCUGGCGUGCCUGAGUCGUGAUCCGUAUCAAUCUCUGUUAAUUUGUUUGGGAAACAUAAUCCCAGAAGAACGAUUGUUUGUGUUUUAGCCAGUAGUAAUUUUUCGCCGGAGGAUUUUACCAGUUGAGUGGCAGCAAAAAUAACUUAAAUUUCAUCGCUGUGAUAUAAGCCAAUCAUUUAUAAGCGUAAAACACGGGUCUAAAAAUGAGGGACAGCAGCGAAGGAAAACAGAUCCGGACUUCAGCGAGAACGUGCACGGUUCCAUUCUUCGCCAUGCAUAGGAAACUCCAAUCCACCAGAACAACAGCACCCAAUCCGCUGAAUCUGGAUUCAUGUACCAGCCAGGAUCAACAUGCAUCAGGCAUGAAACUGUGUCCC
Long non-coding RNA from Uranotaenia lowii, 490 nucleotides. RefSeq lists it as uncharacterized. The record is from RefSeq and is a predicted model, not a curated record. The transcript is spliced from 3 exons. Lineage: Eukaryota; Metazoa; Arthropoda; Insecta; Diptera; Culicidae.